UGCAGCCCUCUUGACUUUCAUUGCUUUUCUCCCUAGCUUAUCCUCAGUUCAUCCCCAGGAAUAGCCCAAAUCAAAGCUCCCACCCGACCCUGGCAUUUUUGUCUAAAAGAAAUGCAAUGCGAGAAAAAGGAACAAGCAGAUGAAAGAGAGUAUUUCCUUCAGAGGCCCAAGGACUCUGCAGUGCUGGGAUGUUUGCAGCAGGGUUCUGUGGUUUGGGUCCUGAUCUGGGUUGCCGUCUCCCAAACUGGGAACAGUGUCAUCCAGCAGCUCCAUCUCUGGGAACUCCCCAGGUGCAUGCGAAAACUGAGGAAGGCACCAGUGCAGACAGAAGACACCAGUUUCCUGGCAAACAGGCAACCGUGGUGUUGGAUAGAGAAGUAACAGUAGCCCCACAGAACUUGCUUGGUUUGCGGUUUCUAAACCCUCCUGAAAUGCUACGCUUGAGUAAGUCCCAACCAAAACAUUUUCAAAUGACAUCUCUUUGCAAACUGCUUGCACUACAAGUUCUAUUUUAACAGAACUGUCUUCUGAUAGGAAAGUGUUUCAUAUGCAAUUUCUUUAAUUAACUCUAGUAACACAUUAUGUGCUUAAGUUCUGUAUUUCCCUUUCCCCAAACUGCUUCACUCUCAGCAGUUAACUGCGUUUUUUCUAAUUGCUGCUGUAAUGCCUUCUUAACUCUUGUAAAGAUCUUAUCACUUCACCUGUAGAUUUCUGAGUAGCCUCUUUUUCUAGUUGAUCCUGCAAUUCCUUCAUUGACUCUUGAAAAGAUCUUAUCACUUCACUUGUGGAUUUCUGAAUAGCCCAUCUGUCUUUUUAUGUUGUUUUAAGGACAACACAUAAAACAGCACCUACAAGAAGUAGUCCUAAUCCAAGGCCAGACUUCAAGAGGGAAUAAUCCCCAUAUAACUCACCCUGAGGUGUCGUUCCUUUUGACUCAGUCAUUUAGCCAGCUCAGGUUAAUGUCUUUCUCCCCCUUAACCCUCUGAGGGUCGGCUUGACUCUCUCCUGGAAAACCUUUCAACAGGUCCAGGUACCAGACAACCUUUCAACAGGUCCAGGCUACACCAGAAAGCCUUUCAACAGGUCUGAUGUGCCCGGGUCACACCGAGAGGACAAAAAUUAUCACUAUAAUUUCAUAAUGAGGGGCGGUCACCAUUUGACUCACCCUUGGUAUCAGUUUUGGACUACACCGAUUACUCCACUACAUCCAAAAGAUCCUUGUCCAUGAUGCCAAAAAUGUUACAACCCGCCCCAGAAAAGGGGGGGGGGUAACCCAGGUUCUUAUUAAUAAAUCCCUUUGGAUGGAUUAGAGUGAAACGACACUAAAUAAUUGGUGUUUGAAAACUUAUAUAUGUAGGGUUUAUUUUAGAACAAUUUUUUUUCAAAGGUAAACAGGUAUGUUGCCAUUUUGGGUGUUAUCAUCUACAGCGAUAUGGCAUAAAGAUAACCUUUAGGGAAAAUGCAUAAGGGAGAGAAAGGAAACACAGGACAAGGGUAAGGGAGAGUAAGGGAAAGCAAAGCUGAGAGUGGAAAGAUGUAUAUAGUCACCACCCACAGGGUCCAGAGGUGGAACUUGGUAUUUGCAGCUUCCAUGUCUGUCAGUUGAAGUGGUGGCCUUGAUCCACUGGGGGUGGGGGAGGGAAGCCCCCACACUCCAAGAAGUUAUGAGUUAUUAUAUCCAUGGAUGGUGUCCCGGGCCAUGCCACGAACCCCCAACAUCUCCUGGGCCUGUGCAGAGUUCCUGUGAGGGGCCUGGUAAACACGGCUCUUCUCGCCUUUUCAGGGCUUGACACCUUCAGCAGCAUUGGCAGGGGGGAUGGGUCCAGCUGCCUCUUCCCAGCCUGCAGAAGUCCCCUGGCAAUCCCAGAAUGCGUAAAUCAUGAACCAUUUCAGUCUCUGACAGCACAAGGUCAUGGCUGUCAGGAUUUUAAAGAUGAAUACAGUGUUUGCCCUGCAGCUAUUAAACAAAACAGGGGGAGAUGUGGUGUAUCAUGGACCAGAGCAGAACAUAAAGGGUUACCGAAGCAGAGGAUGUUGCCAGAACGGAAGAGAAUGUGGCAGAAGGUGGGAGGAACUGUCUACAAUGUGCAUGGAGCCAAAGGUCGUGUGACCCAAAACAAGAUGAUUGAAGAAAAGAAGAAAACCUGUUGAAAGCUGAUAGGUGUAAAGAUGGACAUUAGUUGUUAAUAGGUAGAAAUAUGCUCACUGUAAUUUUAUAGGGCCAAGUAUUGCUUGUUGAUAGGUUAUAGAUGAAACUAAUUCUUCUAGAAAUAGAGGCCUGAAAUAAAUAAAUGAUUCUCUUGCAUCACA
Pseudopipra pipra is the source of this 2310-nucleotide long non-coding RNA. RefSeq lists it as uncharacterized. The record is from RefSeq and is a predicted model, not a curated record. NCBI's taxonomy places the organism in Eukaryota, Metazoa, Chordata, Aves, Passeriformes, Pipridae. The transcript has 2 exons.